Molecule: transfer RNA, 75 nt
Filed under: Marmota monax (woodchuck)
Lineage: Eukaryota; Metazoa; Chordata; Mammalia; Rodentia; Sciuridae
Rfam family: tRNA
About the family: Transfer RNA (tRNA) molecules are approximately 80 nucleotides in length. Their secondary structure includes four short double-helical elements and three loops (D, anti-codon, and T loops).
Source: Rfam by way of RNAcentral
GGGGGUAUAGCUCAGUAGGAGAGCGCUUAUCUACCAGCAUGUGUAAGGCCCUGGGUUCUAUUCCCAGGACGCCCC